CGCGUAGGUGGUAGUGUAAGUCUGGGGUGGAAUCCCAGGGCUUAACCCUGGAACUGCCUUGGAAACUGCAUUACUUGAGUCAGUGAGGGGAGGGUAGAAUUCCUGGUGUAGCGGUGAAAUGCGUAGAUAUCAGGAGGAAGGCCUGUGGCGAAGGCGGCCCUCUGGCGCUGGACUGACACUGAGGCGCGAAAGCGUGGGGAGCAAACAGGAUUAGAUACCCUGGUAGUCCACGCCCUAAACGGUGGGCACUAGGUGUAGGGCUCGUAAGGGUUCUGUGCCGAAGGGAAACCAUUAAGUGCCCCGCCUGGGGAGUACGGCCGCAAGGUUGAA
This 330-nucleotide ribosomal RNA is filed under the name uncultured bacterium. RNAcentral's name for it is "bacterial SSU rRNA". It matches the Rfam family "Bacterial small subunit ribosomal RNA", at positions 568 to 898 of the family's 1533-position model. The record is from RNAcentral.